This 1049-nucleotide ribosomal RNA is filed under the name Escherichia coli. RNAcentral's name for it is "partial 23S ribosomal RNA". It matches the Rfam family "Bacterial large subunit ribosomal RNA", at positions 612 to 1663 of the family's 2925-position model. The record is from RNAcentral. Lineage: Bacteria; Pseudomonadati; Pseudomonadota; Gammaproteobacteria; Enterobacterales; Enterobacteriaceae.
AUAAUGGGUCAGCGACUUAUAUUCUGUAGCAAGGUUAACCGAAUAGGGGAGCCGAAGGGAAACCGAGUCUUAACUGGGCGUUAAGUUGCAGGGUAUAGACCCGAAACCCGGUGAUCUAGCCAUGGGCAGGUUGAAGGUUGGGUAACACUAACUGGAGGACCGAACCGACUAAUGUUGAAAAAUUAGCGGAUGACUUGUGGCUGGGGGUGAAAGGCCAAUCAAACCGGGAGAUAGCUGGUUCUCCCCGAAAGCUAUUUAGGUAGCGCCUCGUGAAUUCAUCUCCGGGGGUAGAGCACUGUUUCGGCAAGGGGGUCAUCCCGACUUACCAACCCGAUGCAAACUGCGAAUACCGGAGAAUGUUAUCACGGGAGACACACGGCGGGUGCUAACGUCCGUCGUGAAGAGGGAAACAACCCAGACCGCCAGCUAAGGUCCCAAAGUCAUGGUUAAGUGGGAAACGAUGUGGGAAGGCCCAGACAGCCAGGAUGUUGGCUUAGAAGCAGCCAUCAUUUAAAGAAAGCGUAAUAGCUCACUGGUCGAGUCGGCCUGCGCGGAAGAUGUAACGGGGCUAAACCAUGCACCGAAGCUGCGGCAGCGACGCUGAUGCGUUGUUGGGUAGGGGAGCGUUCUGUAAGCCUGUGAAGGUGUACUGUGAGGUAUGCUGGAGGUAUCAGAAGUGCGAAUGCUGACAUAAGUAACGAUAAAGCGGGUGAAAAGCCCGCUCGCCGGAAGACCAAGGGUUCCUGUCCAACGUUAAUCGGGGCAGGGUGAGUCGACCCCUAAGGCGAGGCCGAAAGGCGUAGUCGAUGGGAAACAGGUUAAUAUUCCUGUACUUGGUGUUACUGCGAAGGGGGGACGGAGAAGGCUAUGUUGGCCGGGCGACGGUUGUCCCGGUUUAAGCGUGUAGGCUGGUUUUCCAGGCAAAUCCGGAAAAUCAAGGCUGAGGCGUGAUGACGAGGCACUACGGUGCUGAAGCAACAAAUGCCCUGCUUCCAGGAAAAGCCUCUAAGCAUCAGGUAACAUCAAAUCGUACCCCAAACCGACACAGG